This is a long non-coding RNA of Oreochromis aureus, 531 nucleotides long. RefSeq lists it as uncharacterized. The record is from RefSeq and is a predicted model, not a curated record. The transcript has 5 exons. Lineage: Eukaryota; Metazoa; Chordata; Actinopteri; Cichliformes; Cichlidae.
GACGUGAACCAUAAGGGGGACAGACACUAAAUAAGCCUGUUAAAUCAGGUGGAAGAGGGAGAGGAGAGACAGGGUGGUGGAAACACUUGACACGCUCCGACUCUGUGCAUUUACUUCUCUCCCCUAAGCACACCGCUGUAGCCAUAGCUGUCGGGGAAAAAAACCAAAGGUUUUCAGGAAGACCCCUUUUUCCUGCUGACUUGACUGAUAGAUGCAAAUAAGGAAGGAAAGGAAGACUGCAGAUGAGUCAAGUGGUGGAUAUCCAAGGGCGAAAAGGGUUAUCCACUGCUGUAUGAAGAGGAAAUCAUCAGAUUCGUGUUCAAGCCUGAUCCCCAAUCUGAAAUAUGAGAGGUGACAUCCACAGCAAGAAAGAUUACAGGAGGAUGUUUCUGGAAAGAAUUGCUGGUGCUGCUGCUGGACCACCAGGUGCUGCAGGGCCUGGGCCUGUCCGCACUGCUGCUGGGGCAGAGGCGCCGACUGCGUUCUCCCCAGGGGGCGGUGGCUGCGCAUGAGCUUGGAGACGGAGGGCGA